Molecule: non-coding RNA, 265 nt
Organism: Paramuricea clavata
Lineage: Eukaryota; Metazoa; Cnidaria; Anthozoa; Malacalcyonacea; Plexauridae
Source: the annotation of a GenBank genome assembly
AUUUAAUGUUGAUAGCAAAAUAAAAAGUCAUGGCAAACUAAAAAGUCACGGCAAACUAAAAACUCGCGGCAAAAUAAAAACUCACGGCAAAAUAAAAACUCACAGCAAAAUAAAAACUCACGGCAAAAUAAAAACUCACGGCAAAAUAAAAACUCACGGCAAAUUAAAAACUCACGGCAAAAUAAAAACUCACGGCAAAAUAAAAACUCACGGCAAAAUAAAAACUCACGGCAAAAUAAAAACUCACGGCAAAAUAAAAACUCAC